GGGGAAUAUUGGACAAUGGGGGAAACCCUGAUCCAGCGACGCCGCGUGAGUGAAGAAGUAUUUCGGUAUGUAAAGCUCUAUCAGCAGGGAAGAAAAUGACGGUACCUGACUAAGAAGCCCCGGCUAACUACGUGCCAGCAGCCGCGGUAAUACGUAGGGGGCAAGCGUUAUCCGGAUUUACUGGGUGUAAAGGGAGCGUAGACGGCUCUGCAAGUCUGGAGUGAAAGCCCGGGGCUCAACCCCGGGACUGCUUUGGAAACUGUGGAGCUGGAGUGCAGGAGAGGUAAGUGGAAUUCCUAGUGUAGCGGUGAAAUGCGUAGAUAUUAGGAGGAACACCAGUGGCGAAGGCGGCUUACUGGACUGUAACUGACGUUGAGGCUCGAAAGCGUGGGGAGCAAAC
This 400-nucleotide ribosomal RNA is filed under the name uncultured bacterium. Its description in RNAcentral is "bacterial SSU rRNA". It matches the Rfam family "Bacterial small subunit ribosomal RNA", at positions 356 to 773 of the family's 1533-position model. The record is from RNAcentral.